CCCUUAGAUGUUCGGGGCCGCACGCGCGCUACACUGAAGGAAUCAGCACGUCUUUCUCCUUGUCCGAAAGGACUGGGUAACCCGCUGAACCUCCUUCGUGCUAGGGAUUGGGGCUUGUAAUUCUUCCCCAUGAACGAGGAAUUCCCAGUAAGCGCGAGUCAUAAGCUCGCGUUGAUUACGUCCCUGCCCUUUGUACACACCGCCCGUCGCUACUACCGAUUGGAUGGUUUAGUGAGAUCCUCGGAUUGGUCCCGGAGCGGCCUCUGGUCGUGCCGGAGUGCCGAAAAGAAUGUCAAACUUGAUCAUCUAGAGGAAGUAAAAGUCGUAACA
Molecule: ribosomal RNA, 330 nt
Filed under: uncultured eukaryote
Lineage: Eukaryota
Description: partial 18S ribosomal RNA
Rfam family: Eukaryotic small subunit ribosomal RNA
Source: RNAcentral